Molecule: non-coding RNA, 184 nt
Organism: Caenorhabditis elegans
Lineage: Eukaryota; Metazoa; Nematoda; Chromadorea; Rhabditida; Rhabditidae
Source: Ensembl
UAAAUGCAUCUUUGCAUAACCUGAAAUGGUCAUUUCUUGUUAAAUAUCACAAAACAGACAAACGUAAUUGAAUCUCGAAAAAUGAAAUCGAAAAGAGGGUGAAAAGUAACCCGAGUAUAGACUGGGUGAAAUCAAUCAUUUGAAAAAGAACGACAAAAAGUGACAGCUGAACGGUUUACGGCAU